This 61-nucleotide ribosomal RNA is filed under the name Colletotrichum gloeosporioides. RNAcentral describes it as "partial 28S ribosomal RNA". The record is from RNAcentral. Lineage: Eukaryota; Fungi; Ascomycota; Sordariomycetes; Glomerellales; Glomerellaceae.
GUUGACCUCGGAUCAGGUAGGAAUACCCGCUGAACUUAAGCAUAUCAAUACGGGGAAGAAA